RNAcentral lists this ribosomal RNA (319 nucleotides) under uncultured eukaryote. RNAcentral describes it as "partial 18S ribosomal RNA". It matches the Rfam family "Eukaryotic small subunit ribosomal RNA", at positions 1470 to 1796 of the family's 1831-position model. The record is from RNAcentral.
CCCCUAGAUGUUCUGGGCCGCACGCGCGCUACACUGAACAGUUCAACAAGUCUUAACCUUGGCCGAUAGGUCUGGGUAAUCUUUGAACGCUGUUCGUGAUUGGGAUAGACCUUUGCAAUUAUGGGUCUUCAACGAGGAAUUCCUAGUAAACGCGAGUCAUCAGCUCGCAUUGAUUACGUCCCUGCCCUUUGUACACACCGCCCGUCGCACCUACCGAUUGAAUGGUCCGGUGAAGCCUCCGGAUUGGACGUGCUGACCCUGUCAGCCGGCCGAGAAGUUGGCUAAAUCUUACCAUUUAGAGGAAGGUGAAGUCGUAACA